This 492-nucleotide ribosomal RNA is filed under the name uncultured bacterium. Its description in RNAcentral is "partial 16S ribosomal RNA". It matches the Rfam family "Bacterial small subunit ribosomal RNA", at positions 29 to 507 of the family's 1533-position model. The record is from RNAcentral.
AGUGAACGCUGGCGGUAGGCCUGACACAUGCAAGUCGAACGGCAGCGCAGUAAGAGCUUGCUCUUACGGGUGGCGAGUGGCGGACGGGUGAGGAAUACAUCGGAAUCUACUUUUUCGUGGGGGAUAACGUAGGGAAACUUACGCUAAUACCGCAUACGACCUACGGGUGAAAGCAGGGGAUCUUCGGACCUUGCGCGAUUGAAUGAGCCGAUGUCGGAUUAGCUAGUUGGCGGGGUAAAGGCCCACCAAGGCGACGAUCCGUAGCUGGUCUGAGAGGAUGAUCAGCCACACUGGAACUGAGACACGGUCCAGACUCCUACGGGAGGCAGCAGUGGGGAAUAUUGGACAAUGGGCGCAAGCCUGAUCCAGCCAUACCGCGUGGGUGAAGAAGGCCUUCGGGUUGUAAAGCCCUUUUGUUGGGAAAGAAAAGCAGCAGGUUAAUACCCCGCUGUUCUGACGGUACCCAAAGAAUAAGCACCGGCUAACUUCGUG